This 64-nucleotide transfer RNA is filed under the name Lachesilla rufa. RNAcentral describes it as "tRNA-Asp". Lineage: Eukaryota; Metazoa; Arthropoda; Insecta; Psocodea; Lachesillidae. The record is from RNAcentral.
AAAGGCUUAGUUAAAUUUAUAACAUUAGAAUGUCAAACUAAAAUUAUUUUUCGAAUAGCCUUUU